Molecule: ribosomal RNA, 445 nt
Filed under: uncultured bacterium
Lineage: Bacteria
Description: SSU rRNA
Rfam family: Bacterial small subunit ribosomal RNA
Source: RNAcentral
AGAACGAACGCUGGCGGCAGGCUUAACACAUGCAAGUCGAACGCUUCCUUCGGGGAGAGUGGCAGACGGGUGAGUAACACGUGGGAACGUACCCCUUUGUUCGGAAUAACCCUGGGAAACUAGGGCUAAUACCGGAUACGGCCGAGAGGCGAAAGGUUUACCGCAGAGGGAUCGGCCCGCGUCCGAUUAGCUUGUUGGUGAGGUAAUGGCUCACCAAGGCAUCGAUCGGUAGCUGGUCUGAGAGGAUGACCAGCCACAUUGGGACUGAGACACGGCCCAAACUCCUACGGGAGGCAGCAGUGGGGAAUAUUGGACAAUGGGCGCAAGCCUGAUCCAGCCAUGCCGCGUGAGUGAUGACGGCCUUAGGGUUGUAAAGCUCUUUUACCUGGGAAGAUCAUGACGGUACCAGGAGAAUAAGCCCGGCUAACUUCGUGCCAGCAGCCGC